RNAcentral lists this long non-coding RNA (627 nucleotides) under Homo sapiens (human). Its description in RNAcentral is "non-protein coding lnc-GABPA-23:1". The record is from RNAcentral. Lineage: Eukaryota; Metazoa; Chordata; Mammalia; Primates; Hominidae.
ACCAUUGAUUAUGCUGCCUGAGAUAGGGUGGUGGUUUUUAAAAUAUAUAUUUAUUAGGUUAAACAUUUUUUCUUCUAUAUCCCUAGUUUGCUAAGCAUUUUAACUCUGAGUGAUGACUUUAAUUGCUUUUCCUUUUAAAACUGAUCUUAGAAUUACCCUGCUUUAAGAGGCCUUUCCAGCAAUCUAAAGUUGGAAUAAAAGCUCCUCGUCUCUGAUCCCACUGCAUUUUGUGCUUCCAGUGGCAAGUUCAUCUGCUGAUGUGUCACUGGGUCUCCUUCCAAAAGUAACUCUAUAGUACAACAUGAUGCUUCAGGUAUAGAAACCUUGCUCUUAUUUGUUUAGCCAAAUGAAAUGUGAAUCUAAAGAUACUGAGAGUUUCAAGAAGAAUUUCAUGAUCGUAAAUAAUGAAUGGUGUAGUAAGGCCUAAAAUAUUCAGUCUUUUCUUGGCUCUAUGACUGAAAAUAUAGGCAGAUGUGCCUAGGAUGAUGAUAGCAGUGAUGGGCACCAGUCCAGGUAGGCUGGGCCUGGCAGAGUGUAAAUCUUAUGCCAGAGCAUCAGUGACCAACUCCAUGAGCAGGCCAGCACAUGUGAAAAAGGCUCCUGGGAAACUUAGAGAUAUAAUUGGAA